UACAGAGGUCCCAAGCGUUGUUCGGAUUCACUGGGCGUAAAGGGCGCGUAGGCGGUUGGAUAAGUCAGCUGUGAAAACCACGGGCUUAACUCGUGGCCUGCAGUUGAGACUGUCUGGCUUGAGUGUGGGAGAGGAGAGUGGAAUUCCUGGUGUAGCGGUGAAAUGCGUAGAUAUCAGGAGGAACACCGGUGGCGAAGGCGGCUCUCUGGACCACAACUGACGCUGAGGCGCGAAAGCUAGGGGAGCAAACAGG
RNAcentral lists this ribosomal RNA (253 nucleotides) under uncultured bacterium. RNAcentral describes it as "partial 16S ribosomal RNA". It matches the Rfam family "Bacterial small subunit ribosomal RNA", at positions 524 to 776 of the family's 1533-position model. The record is from RNAcentral.